Long non-coding RNA from Oncorhynchus masou masou (cherry salmon), 570 nucleotides. RefSeq lists it as uncharacterized. Lineage: Eukaryota; Metazoa; Chordata; Actinopteri; Salmoniformes; Salmonidae. The record is from RefSeq and is a predicted model, not a curated record. The transcript has 5 exons.
GACUCCAACAUACUGGUUCAUCUGUAUGUGGCUGAACAGGGAGCUGUGAUGCCAACUAGACUGGUCCUGAUGGUGGUACCAGACUGGUCACUACAAGAUGCCUGUUACUGAACUACCUCAAGUUGAUGUCCUUGUGGGUCUGCAGUCUUCAGGAAGGUCCUAACUGUUCCAGCCUGGCCACUGGAGGAAUGUUACUGAACUACCUCAAGGUGUGUAGGAUCAACUUUCACUUGAUCUGUUGCCAUUAAUUGUCCUUUAUCGUGUAGAAGUGAUGAUUUCUGGUUACCGCCCCAGUCUGAUGUUAAGCUGACUGAUUGGUUACUGAACUGAUCUAUACUCUAGAGCAGUGUUUCACAAUCCUGGUUCUUGGGACUUAGAUGUAAAGGCUUCGCUUAGACUGACAGCUCAAUUCUGAUCUUUCACUAAUUAGUCUUGAAUAAUCAGACCCAAUGUUGACUGCAGUUAUUUACUUAAGUUUCUAUAAACAUACACUUCCGAGAAUUAAUCGAAAUGUUAUUGGUGUACCCCGGUCGUUUCUGAAAUACUCUGGGAUACCACUUAAGCCUAGUA